UACGUAGGGUGCAAGCGUUGUCCGGAAUUAUUGGGCGUAAAGAGCUUGUAGGCGGUUUGUCGCGUCGUUUGUGAAAACUUGGGGCUCAACCCCAAGCUUGCAGGCGAUACGGGCAGACUAGAGUACUUCAGGGGAGACUGGAAUUCCUGGUGUAGCGGUGAGAUGCGCAGAUAUCAGGAGGAACACCGGUGGCGAAGGCGGGUCUCUGGGAAGUAACUGACGCUGAGACGCGAAAGCGUGGGGAGCAAACAGG
Molecule: ribosomal RNA, 253 nt
Filed under: uncultured bacterium
Lineage: Bacteria
Description: partial 16S ribosomal RNA
Rfam family: Bacterial small subunit ribosomal RNA
Source: RNAcentral